UCCAAGAACACGUACUCACCCCGGUGCUGACUUCCUGACCCAUCCAGUCCGGGACCAGGUCAUUUUUAGAAGAAAUCUGCUGUCCGAAGUACGGCAUCAUUGAUGCUGCAGCCGCCAUCUUGUUUCUGUUGUCGCUAUAUGACGGCGAGGCAGCUAUUUACGGGCUGUGAAAAGUUACCAAAAAACACAUAAAUAACUCUGUUAUUAUAUUAAUAAUUAACAGUAACUGUAACAAAUAAUAUCUGAGAUUUCAGUUUGUGUUUUGUUUUGUUGCUAUGCGUCAGAUUUACAUUUAUAAAACUCCCUGAAAAGAGUUAAGCUCAGGCAGGUUGGCGGACAGCCCUGCUGCGGGGUCCUGAGCUCGGCAGGAAGGAGGAAAAGAAGAUGACGGUCCAUAACCUGUACAUCUUCGACCGGAACGGAAGCUGUCUGUUUUACAACGAGUGGAACCGGAAGAAGCAGGCGGGCAUCUCAAA
Molecule: long non-coding RNA, 476 nt
Organism: Etheostoma cragini (Arkansas darter)
Lineage: Eukaryota; Metazoa; Chordata; Actinopteri; Perciformes; Percidae
Exons: 2
Source: RefSeq, a predicted model, not a curated record